GGAGAUGGCUCAGUGGGUAAGAGUGCUUGCUCUGAAAGCAUGAGGACCUGAGUUCAAAUUCUCAGCACCUGCA
RNAcentral lists this transfer RNA (73 nucleotides) under Neotoma lepida (desert woodrat). It matches the Rfam family "tRNA". Rfam says of the family: Transfer RNA (tRNA) molecules are approximately 80 nucleotides in length. Their secondary structure includes four short double-helical elements and three loops (D, anti-codon, and T loops). Lineage: Eukaryota; Metazoa; Chordata; Mammalia; Rodentia; Cricetidae. The record is from Rfam by way of RNAcentral.